GACGAACGCUGGCGGCGUGCUUAACACAUGCCAGUCGAACGGAAAGGCCCUGCUUUUGUGGGGUGCUCGAGUGGCGAACGGGUGAGUAACACGUGAGUAACCUGCCCUUGACUUUGGGAUAACUUCAGGAAACUGGGGCUAAUACCGGAUAGGAGCUCCUGCUGCAUGGUGGGGGUUGGAAAGUUUCGGCGGUUGGGGAUGGACUCGCGGCUUAUCAGCUUGUUGGUGGGGUAGUGGCUUACCAAGGCUUUGACGGGUAGCCGGCCUGAGAGGGUGACCGGCCACAUUGGGACUGAGGUACGGCCCAGACUGCUACGGGAGGCAGCAGGGGGGAAUAUUGCACAAUGGGCGGAAGCCUGAUGCAGCAACGCCGCGUGCGGGAUGACGGCCUUCGGGUUGUAAACCGCUUUCGCCUGUGACGAAGCGUGAGUGACGGUAAUGGGUAAAGAAGCACCGGCUAACUACGUG
RNAcentral lists this ribosomal RNA (468 nucleotides) under uncultured bacterium. RNAcentral's name for it is "partial 16S ribosomal RNA". It matches the Rfam family "Bacterial small subunit ribosomal RNA", at positions 28 to 507 of the family's 1533-position model. The record is from RNAcentral.